RNAcentral lists this ribosomal RNA (502 nucleotides) under uncultured bacterium. RNAcentral describes it as "partial 16S ribosomal RNA". It matches the Rfam family "Bacterial small subunit ribosomal RNA", at positions 28 to 523 of the family's 1533-position model. The record is from RNAcentral.
GAUGAACGCUAGCGGCAGGCUUAAUACAUGCAAGUCGUGGGGCAGCACAGUGUAGCAAUACAUGGGUGGCGACCGGCAAACGGGUGCGGAACACGUACGCAACCUUCCUUCAAGUGGGGGAUAGCCCGGGGAAACCCGGAUUAAUACCCCGUAAUACUAUUGAGUGGCAUCACUUGAUACUUAUAGCUCCGGCGCUUGAAGAUGGGCGUGCGCCUGAUUAGGUAGUUGGCGGGGUAACGGCCCACCAAGCCUGCGAUCAGUAACUGGUGUGAGAGCACGACCAGUCACACGGGCACUGAGACACGGGCCCGACUCCUACGGGAGGCAGCAGUAAGGAAUAUCGGUCAAUGGACGCAAGUCUGAACCAGCCAUGCCGCGUGGAGGAUGAAGGCCCUCUGGGUUGUAAACUUCUUUUAUCUGAGAAGAAACCGGACUUUUCUAAGGCCGUUGACGGUACCAGAUGAAUAAGCACCGGCUAACUCCGUGCCAGCAGCCGCGGUAA